GUUAAGGAACUCGGCAAAAUGACCCCGUAACUUAGGGAUAAGGGGUGCCACCAUCAGGUGGCCGCAGAGAAUAGGCCCAAGCGACUGUUUACCAAAAACAUAGGUUUCUGCUAAGUCGCAAGACGAUGUAUAGGAGCUGACGCCUGCCCGGUGCUGGAAGGUUAAGGGGAUCUGUUAGAGCAAUCGAAGCAGUGAACUUAAGCCCCAGUAAACGGCGGCCGUAACUAUAACGGUCCUAAGGUAGCGAAAUUCCUUGUCGGGUAAGUUCCGACCCGCACGAAAGGCGUAACGAUUUGGGCACUGUCUCAACAACAGACUCGGUGAAAUUGUAAUUCCGGUGAAGAUGCCGGAUACCUGCGACAGGACGGAAAGACCCCAUGGAGCUUUACUGUAGCUUGACAUUGGGUCUUGGUACUACAUGUACAGGAUAGGUGGGAGGCUUUGAAACCAGGACGCCAGUUUUGGCGGAGCCAUCCUUGGGAUACCACCCUUGUAGUACUGGGACUCUAACCAUAGGCCAUGAAUCUGGUCUUGGGACACUGUCAGGUGGGCAGUUUGACUGGGGCGGUCGCCUCCCAAAAGGUAACGGAGGCGCUCAAAGGUUCUCUCAGUACGGUCGGAAAUCGUACGUAGAGUGUAAAGGCAAAAGAGAGCUUGAUUGCAAGACAUACAGGUCGAGCAAGGAUGAAAAUCGGACUUAGUGAUCCGGUGGUUCUGCGUGGAAGGGCCAUCGCUCAACGGAUAAAAGCUACCCUGGGGAUAACAGGCUUAUCUCCCCCAAGAGUCCACAUCGACGGGGAGGUUUGGCACCUCGAUGUCGGCUCAUCACAUCCUGGGGCUGUAGUAGGUCCCAAGGGUUGGGCUGUUCGCCCAUUAAAGUGGUACGCGAGCUGGGUUCAGAACGUCGUGAGACAGUUCGGUCCCUAUCCGUCGCAGGCGUAGGAAAUUUGAGAAGACCUGUCCUUAGUACGAGAGGACCGGGAUGGACG
This 989-nucleotide ribosomal RNA is filed under the name Clostridioides difficile. Its description in RNAcentral is "partial 23S ribosomal RNA". It matches the Rfam family "Bacterial large subunit ribosomal RNA", at positions 1704 to 2703 of the family's 2925-position model. The record is from RNAcentral. Lineage: Bacteria; Bacillati; Bacillota; Clostridia; Peptostreptococcales; Peptostreptococcaceae.